RNAcentral lists this ribosomal RNA (490 nucleotides) under uncultured bacterium. Its description in RNAcentral is "partial 16S ribosomal RNA". It matches the Rfam family "Bacterial small subunit ribosomal RNA", at positions 28 to 507 of the family's 1533-position model. The record is from RNAcentral.
GAUGAACGCUAGCUACAGGCUUAACACAUGCAAGUCGAGGGGCAGCGGGAUUGAAGCUUGCUUCAAUUGCCGGCGACCGGCGCACGGGUGAGUAACGCGUAUCCAACCUUCCGUACACUCAGGGAUAGCCUUUCGAAAGAAAGAUUAAUACCUGAUGGUAUGAUGAGAUUGCAUGAUAUCAUCAUUAAAGAUUUAUCGGUGUACGAUGGGGAUGCGUUCCAUUAGGUAGUAGGCGUGGUAACGGCCCACCUAGCCAACGAUGGAUAGGGGUUCUGAGAGGAAGGUCCCCCACAUUGGAACUGAGACACGGUCCAAACUCCUACGGGAGGCAGCAGUGAGGAAUAUUGGUCAAUGGACGAGAGUCUGAACCAGCCAAGUAGCGUGAAGGAUGAAGGUCCUACGGAUUGUAAACUUCUUUUAUAAGGGAAUAAACCCUCCCACGUGUGGGAGCUUGUAUGUACCUUAUGAAUAAGCAUCGGCUAACUCCGUG